AAACCAACCGGGAUUCCCCUAGUAACGGCGAGUGAACAGGGACCAGCCCAACUUUGAAAUCUCCUCGGUCCCCGGGGCGAAUUGUAGUUUCUAGGGACGCCUACUCCUCGGAGGGCGGCCCAGGCGCAAGUCCGCUGGAACGCGGCACCAGAGAGGGUGAGAGUCCCGUGGCGCCUGGGGCACCGCUCGCCGCUGCGAGGCGACUCCCAGAGAGUCGGACAGUUUGGGAAUGCUGUCCUAAGCGGGUGGUAAGCGCCAUCCAAGGCUAAAUACCGGCGAGAGACCGAUAGCACACAAGUACCGUGAGGGAAAGGUGAAAAGCACUCUGAAAAGAGAGUGAAACAGCACGUGAAGUCGUCAGAAGGGAAGCGUUUGGCACCAGCGCACUGCGCGCGGUGGCGAUCAUCCCGUCCCCCUCGGGGGGCGGGUGCACUCGCCGCCCGCGUGGGCCGGCAACGGUUGGGCAACUUGAAACCGCGGCACGACGCCGGGCGGAAGGUACCCCCUCGGGGGACUUACAGCCGCCCGUCGCGCACUGCCGCGGGCCCGACCGAGGACCGCGUGCCCGUCAAAGGGGAGGCCCCUCGCCCCGGUCGUACCCGGCCGCCGGACCGCUUGCGGACCGCCGCGGUCUAGGGUCGGCCCCGCGCGAGGGGACCCUCCACCUCGGGCGUCACAGGGUUGCCGGCAGAAUGGUAUCAAGCGAC
Molecule: ribosomal RNA, 707 nt
Filed under: Cladochytrium sp. NBRC 105429
Lineage: Eukaryota; Fungi; Chytridiomycota; Chytridiomycetes; Cladochytriales; Cladochytriaceae
Description: eukaryotic LSU rRNA
Rfam family: Eukaryotic large subunit ribosomal RNA
Source: RNAcentral